AUGAGCCUCCGAAAUCAGACUGGUGCAACAGAGAUUUCCUUCUUAACGAACGCGAGGGGAUCCUCACGAAAGUGAAGAAAAACACCAGACACCAGCAUCAGCUAUUGCAGAACAGCCCGAAAUGAUUCGAAACCACCACGAAAUACACUCAAGGCCCCGAGAGCGUCGUACAAAUGUACCAACAAGUCCCAUAACAUAACACGGACCUGCUAGAGGGCUCAAAUCACAUCAAACAAUACACUCCAACCCAAGCUUAAUGAACUUUAGAAUUACAAACUUCAAUAUUCGAUGCUGAAACCUAUCAAAUCAAGUCCGAUUGAUCUCAAAUUUUUCAUAGAAGUCAUAUUCGACACUAUAAACCUACUCUAACUUCCGGAAUCUGAAUCUGACCCCGAUAUCAAAAAGUCCAAUUUCGGUCAAAC
This 422-nucleotide long non-coding RNA is filed under the name Nicotiana benthamiana. Its description in RNAcentral is "long non-coding RNA (NBEN_LNC027136)". Lineage: Eukaryota; Viridiplantae; Streptophyta; Magnoliopsida; Solanales; Solanaceae. The record is from RNAcentral.